This 504-nucleotide ribosomal RNA is filed under the name uncultured bacterium. Its description in RNAcentral is "partial 16S ribosomal RNA". It matches the Rfam family "Bacterial small subunit ribosomal RNA", at positions 30 to 523 of the family's 1533-position model. The record is from RNAcentral.
AUUGAACGCUGGCGGCAGGCCUAACACAUGCAAGUCGAGCGGUAACACAGGGAGCUUGCUCCCGGGUGACGAGCGGCGGACGGGUGAGUAAUGUCUGGGAAACUGCCUGAUGGAGGGGGAUAACUACUGGAAACGGUAGCUAAUACCGCAUAAUGUCGCAAGACCAAAGAGGGGGACCUUCGGGCCUCUUGCCAUCAGAUGUGCCCAGAUGGGAUUAGCUAGUAGGUGGGGUAACGGCUCACCUAGGCGACGAUCCCUAGCUGGUCUGAGAGGAUGACCAGCCACACUGGAACUGAGACACGGUCCAGACUCCUACGGGAGGCAGCAGUGGGGAAUAUUGCACAAUGGGCGCAAGCCUGAUGCAGCCAUGCCGCGUGUAUGAAGAAGGCCUUCGGGUUGUAAAGUACUUUCAGCGGGGAGGAAGGUGCUGAGGUUAAUAACCUCAGCAAUUGACGUUACCCGCAGAAGAAGCACCGGCUAACUCCGUGCCAGCCGCCGCGGUAA